UCGAGCUUGGCUGGAUUUACUUAGAAAACAAUCCAUAAAUGAGGAAUUUUGACACUAAAGUUAACUGCAGAAGUUGCGGAAGUAGACAAGAAUCAUCCGACAUCUUUGAACCACGUAGAAAUCGAUAUUCCGGCUGUUUUUUUUUUUUGAGGAUUCUCUUCAGCGGGACUUCGAUCUUCAUCCAUCUGCUGCUGUGUGUCGAUGUCCAUCCAUGUCCAUAUCUCCAUCUCCAUCACACUGGAAUCGGCCAUCACCUCGGACCGUCUCGUCGGACAUUCAUCAUAAGGGGACGACCUGCUGUGAAUGCACUGUGUAACCCAGGGAGAUUGGAGGAAGCGGCAGCCAGGUGGCG
Long non-coding RNA from Amphiprion ocellaris (clown anemonefish), 352 nucleotides. Lineage: Eukaryota; Metazoa; Chordata; Actinopteri; Pomacentridae. The record is from Ensembl.